GUGUUCAUUUGCCAGCACAUAUGCUAAACUUGGAAUGAUGCAGUAAAGAUUAGCAUGACCACUGUACAAGGAUGACACAUAAAUUCAUGAAGCACUCCAUACUUUU
RNAcentral lists this small nuclear RNA (106 nucleotides) under Castor canadensis (American beaver). Lineage: Eukaryota; Metazoa; Chordata; Mammalia; Rodentia; Castoridae. The record is from RNAcentral.